RNAcentral lists this ribosomal RNA (253 nucleotides) under uncultured bacterium. RNAcentral describes it as "partial 16S ribosomal RNA". It matches the Rfam family "Bacterial small subunit ribosomal RNA", at positions 524 to 776 of the family's 1533-position model. The record is from RNAcentral.
UACGGGGGGGGCAAGCGUUGUUCGGAAUUACUGGGCGUAAAGGGCGCGUAGGCGGUUUGUUAAGUUGGAUGUGAAAACUGUGGGCUUAACCCAUAGCCUGCAUCCAAAACUAGCAGGCUAGAGUUCUGGAGGGGAUAGCGGAAUUCCUGGUGUAGCGGUGAAAUGCGUAGAUAUCGGGAGGAAUACCGAUGGCGAAGGCAGGUCUCUGGGCUAUAACUGACGCUCAUGCACGAAAGCGUGGGGAGCAAACAGG